Molecule: long non-coding RNA, 1926 nt
Organism: Pygocentrus nattereri (red-bellied piranha)
Lineage: Eukaryota; Metazoa; Chordata; Actinopteri; Characiformes; Serrasalmidae
Exons: 2
Source: RefSeq, a predicted model, not a curated record
ACCAGAACUAUUUGCAUCUAUUUAUGAAUCAUGUGUUCCAGUCAAAAGAGCAGCUGGGCGCUUUAACUGGGUUGGACUUUCAGCUCCAUGUGAAAUCAUUCUACUGUUUAAUGUUUACCAGCUCUGGACUGCACACAUGACCACACAAGACCUCAGCACAGCAAAACUAUUGUGUUGACCCAAACACAAAUUUGGACAUAGGCUUCCAGCACGGCCUGAUAAGCCACGGAGGAUAUUCCCGAACAGAGAGCACCUUCAAAACAUCUGCAAAACACACGAGUGCUCUGUAAUACUGAUUAAAGACUUGAGGUAGGAGGAUAUCAUCUGCAUUUUGUUCUUGGGAACUAACAGCAUUUUCCACUGCUAUUUGGAGUUCAUCUGGCACCUUGCUGACCUUGGUGAACAUUAUCAACGUCUUCAAAAGUAAGGCUAACCUAACUUGUCCAACAGCCAAAAGCUUGUCAUCAAAUCACCAGUUUAAGAGCUUAAAGUGGCUGGUGUUGAUUUCAGGCACUUUCUCUAAAGACAUCUGCAGCCUCACCUGCCCACCUGAUGUUUAGCACAAACUCCACCUGGGUGGAUGCCUGACCACACCUCACUUAAUGCUGAAAUGGGUUUGACACAUCAAGGAUUGAGAUGAUGAACCAACACCCGGUUUAAACCGAGCCCUGACCUCGUCUACAAAUACCAUGUCUUUGAACAUCCUCUCAUAAGGCUCACAUAAAGCAUACUCACCACCAAAUUUGCUCAAGACUGGACAAUGACCUGGGCAACCAACCUGCUACACAACACACAUCAUUCCACUUUCUUCCUAAAUCCUCACAAAAGCAAAAGUGAUAUUUUAAUGACAUACAAUUAGGAAACAGAGGUGUGUAGAGUAGCCUAAACCCAUAGCCAAGUAAAAGCAUGGUUGCUUUGGUGAAAUAAUGCCUUGAACAGAAGUAAAAGUGUCUAGGCAGUGAGUAACUUGUAGAAGACUAUUUCAGUGGCACUUCUUAGUACGUUCAGCAACGGUCAGCAUAGGAAGUGAAGUUAGUCAGGGGCUACUGCUCUUUUAAGGCUCCUUCAUGUUUAGAAUAAAAUGACUAACUUGAACAGUCAGAGGUGACCAAUCACACAUCAGUUCAGAUGCUCUCAGUGAUGUAACAUAAGGGAAGUAAACACAUCAAAAGAAACAGGAACUACAGUUUAAGGCACAGAUCCACUAACAUUACAUGUACCUGAGGAAAAAUAACUACUCACAUCAUAUAAACUGAUAUUAAACAGUUCAUCACUCAUGUAACCUACUAUGUUUGGACACUUUUCAGACUGACUUGCCACAGACUAACCACACCGGGCUGUGCCGCACGUCCAGAUAACUUCUGCCCGGUUUAUGGUUUAAUUUCAUUAGCAUAUCACUUCUAUAAUCUCCGUUAAACGGUUCCACGCUGUGCAACGGUACAGUUACCUCACGUCCUCACAGGCCUGACACACCCUCCACCUCUGUCUGUGUGAACUUCCUGAAGAACAAACGCGCUGCAACACUUCUCUCACCGAGUAACAGACCACACGAGGCUUAAGCUGGCUUCCCAUUUGCCAGCUUCUUCUUCGAAUUCCCCCGUUCCACCUUAAAUGGUGCAGCAGUUCUAUUGUGGUGCAUGAAGUCUGAGGCGCCAGACCGUAACUGCUGCACCGUUUAAGGUGGAACGGGGAAAUUCGAACAAGAAGCUGGCGAAUGAGAAACUGACUUCACCUUCACUGACUUCUUGACAGACACUCGAUAGUAAACACGACAAAACCUGUUCGUGUGUCAAACUUUCUUCACUUCCCACCCACUUUUAUGGGUCUGUCAGCUGAACGUUUCCACCUCAUUUAAAACGCCUGUCAGAAAAAAACGGACAGCGCAGGCGGGCUGAGGACAGAUUUGCUCCAAGCUGUAUAAAUACA